GAUGAACGCUAGCGGCAGGCCUAAUACAUGCAAGUCGAACGGGAUCUGAGGGUAGCUUGCUACCCGAUUUGAGAGUGGCGCACGGGUGCGUAACGCGUGAGCAACCUACCCAUAUCAGGGGGAUAGCCCGGAGAAAUUCGGAUUAAUACCGCAUAAGAAUGUAUUAACACAUGUUAAAGCAUUUAAUAUUUAUAGGAUAUGGAUCGGCUCGCGUGACAUCCGCUAGUUGGUGAGGUAACGGCUCACCAAGGCGACGAUGUCUAGGGGCUCUGAGAGGAGAAUCCCCCACACUGGUACUGAGACACGGACCAGACUCCUACGGGAGGCAGCAGUAAGGAAUAUUGGUCAAUGGGCGGAAGCCUGAACCAGCCAUGCCGCGUGCAGGACGACUGCCCUAUGGGUUGUAAACUGCUUUUGUCGAGGAAUAAACCUAUCUACGUGUAGCUAGUUGAACGUACUCGAAGAAUAAGGAUCGGCUAACUCCGUGCCAGCAGCCGCCGUAA
Molecule: ribosomal RNA, 503 nt
Filed under: uncultured bacterium
Lineage: Bacteria
Description: partial 16S ribosomal RNA
Rfam family: Bacterial small subunit ribosomal RNA
Source: RNAcentral